This 73-nucleotide transfer RNA is filed under the name Felis catus (domestic cat). It matches the Rfam family "tRNA". Rfam says of the family: Transfer RNA (tRNA) molecules are approximately 80 nucleotides in length. Lineage: Eukaryota; Metazoa; Chordata; Mammalia; Carnivora; Felidae. RNAcentral also lists the same sequence under 2 other names. The record is from Rfam by way of RNAcentral.
GCCUGGCUGGUUCAGUUGGUAGAGCAUGAGACUCUUGAUCUCAGAGCUGUGAGUUCAAGCCCCAUGUUGGGUG